This 250-nucleotide unclassified non-coding RNA is filed under the name plant metagenome. Its description in RNAcentral is "partial contains small subunit ribosomal RNA, internal transcribed spacer 1, and 5.8S ribosomal RNA". The stretch from base 198 to 250 matches the Rfam family "5.8S ribosomal RNA", at positions 1 to 53 of the family's 154-position model. The record is from RNAcentral.
GUAGGUGAACCUGCGGAAGGAUCAUUAUUGAAUUAGCGAGGGCUGUCUGCUGGCCCCUUUCGGGGGGCAUGUGCACGUCCAAGCCGUUUAAAUCAACACCUGUGAACUCACCGUAGGCCUUCGGGCUUAUGUAUCAUAUAUAUAUACUCAGAUCAUAGAAUGUACGUUUUGCCUUUAAAAAAAAAGCAAUCAAAUACAACUUUCAACAACGGAUCUCUUGGCUCUCGCAUCGAUGAAGAACGCAGCAUCU